UCACCUUCUGAAAUAGAGAAAUUCAGCAGCUCAGGAUCUCUCUUUUGGAGCAGCGCAUGAGAAUCAUGACUGAGGAGCCUCCAUACCAAGGUGCACACUCACAAUGGAUCACUGCAUGGUUGCAGUUGCAAACGAUUCCUGUGGAAGAAUUGCACCACCUCACCAUUUGCUAAGCAGCCCAGCACAGUGGUAUGAAAGGAGACUGUUGCAGGUCUGAGCAAGCUGAGCUGAUGGAGUAUCUCUAUGAACUGGUGAGG
Molecule: long non-coding RNA, 257 nt
Filed under: Chrysolophus pictus (golden pheasant)
Lineage: Eukaryota; Metazoa; Chordata; Aves; Galliformes; Phasianidae
Description: lncRNA (ENSCPIG00010006901.1)
Source: RNAcentral